CGAAUGUCCCUAAGACCCAGAAGGGCCUGCGCUCAGCUGCUCUGGCACCCCGCUGCAGGGAUGGCCUCCUGGGCUAAGGGCAGGAGCUACCUGGCGCCUGGUUUGCUGCAGGGCCAAGUGGCCAUCGUCACCGGCGGGGCCACGGGCAUCGGAAAAGCCAUCGUGAAGGAGCUCCUGGAGCUGGGGAGUAAUGUGGUCAUUGCAUCCCGUAAGUUGGAGAGAUUGAAGUCUGCGGCAGAUGAACUGCAGGCCAACCUACCUCCCACAAAGCAGGCACGAGUCAUUCCCAUACAAUGCAACAUCCGGAACGAGGAGGAGGUGAAUAAUUUGGUCAAAUCUACCUUAGAUACUUUUGGUAAGAUCAAUUUCUUGGUGAACAAUGGAGGAGGCCAGUUUCUUUCCCCUGCUGAACACAUCAGUUCUAAGGGAUGGCACGCUGUGCUUGAGACCAACCUGACGGGUACCUUCUACAUGUGCAAAGCAGGCAAAUCAGCAAUGUCUUACCAAUCCAAGAUUCCUUGCUAACAACUGUCAAUUAAAAGUCUACAGAAUUGAAAUUCAGCCAUGAUUUUUAUUAGCCAAAACUGAAUUAAAGAAUACAAGGCCGGCCGGGCAUGGUGGCUCAUGCCUGUAAUCCCAGCACUUUGGGAGGCCGAGGCGGGCGGAUUACCUGAGCUCAGGAGUUUGAGACCAGCCUGGGCAACACGGUGAAACCCCAUCUCUACAAAGAUACCAAAAAAA
Molecule: small RNA, 741 nt
Filed under: Pan troglodytes (chimpanzee)
Lineage: Eukaryota; Metazoa; Chordata; Mammalia; Primates; Hominidae
Description: processed transcript
Source: RNAcentral